UACGGAGGAUGCAAGCGUUAUCCGGAUUUAUUGGGUUUAAAGGGUGCGUAGGCGGGAAAAUAAGUCAGCGGUGAAAUCUUAGAGCUUAACUCUAAAACUGCCAUUGAUACUGUUUUUCUUGAGUGUAGUUGAAGUAAAUGGAAUGUGUUGUGUAGCGGUGAAAUGCAUAGAUAUAACACAGAACACCUAUUGCGAAAGCAGUUUACUAAGCUACCACUGACGCUGAGGCACGAAAGCGUGGGGAUCAAACAGG
RNAcentral lists this ribosomal RNA (253 nucleotides) under uncultured bacterium. Its description in RNAcentral is "partial 16S ribosomal RNA". It matches the Rfam family "Bacterial small subunit ribosomal RNA", at positions 524 to 776 of the family's 1533-position model. The record is from RNAcentral.